UGUUGGUUUACUUUACACUCCACAAGGUCAAUCUCGACCUCCUUUUGCCAUGGGUCGUAGUAAUUACGUUCAGGGUCAUGGUCGCGAAUCCCAAUCUCAACUUUCUUUUGCCACGUGUCAUACUAAUUAUGCCGAGGGUGAUGGUCGUGCAACCUAUAUUUCUCAACCUCAAUCCCAAUCUGGACCUGAAUCCCAAUCUCAACCUUCAUUUGCCAUG
Camellia sinensis is the source of this 217-nucleotide long non-coding RNA. RefSeq lists it as uncharacterized. The record is from RefSeq and is a predicted model, not a curated record. Lineage: Eukaryota; Viridiplantae; Streptophyta; Magnoliopsida; Ericales; Theaceae.